This 1180-nucleotide long non-coding RNA is filed under the name Sander lucioperca (pikeperch). RNAcentral's name for it is "lncRNA (ENSSLUG00000020357.1)". Lineage: Eukaryota; Metazoa; Chordata; Actinopteri; Perciformes; Percidae. The record is from RNAcentral.
UUGCAAGAAGUCAGAUAAUGUCUUCUUAUACCUGAUUAACAUACUGUAUUAAUGAUUUAUUACCUCUCUAAACAGAAAAUUGAGGAAACAUCUCUCUAAUAAAAACACUGCUACCAGAACGGGAGGUGAAGGCCAGAACAACUCUGCAUACUCAGCAAGUCAGGAGCUGAAUUAUGCAGAUAUCAGUUUCCAGAACAAAGAUGGUGGGAGAGUCCAGCUGGGGUUACAGAAUAACACCUCAGAAUACGCUCAGGUCCAAGUGAACAACAAUCCUCCUGCAGUGUCCUCCCCUCCUUCCUAUGAUGCCCACCUGCAGCGAACAAAAAGCCCAGCUCCUUCGCCUGAUGCUAACCCUGCUCAAGUUUACUCUCAAGUUCGCAAGAACUGACCACACUGCGUAGGAUGGAUCAUCUGGUGAGGUUAUACUGGAGAAGCAGCUGACAUGUGGUGAGAGAAACCUGCACGUUCCUCUCAGUUCCUUUGUAGAGGACUAAUUUACGUCAAAGCACUUUAGCAGUGGUUAAUAAACAACCAGGUAUUGCCAUUGCUGAGGUCAGAUGGCACAAUGCUGGCCUAUUAGCUUGCAUUCACCACAUAUUAUAGCUUUCUGUUUGUACAGUGCAACAGUCUAUGCAAAGUGCAGAUAUCUGAGGGGAAAUAUUCUCUGUAUGUGAUUCAGUUGUUUUGCUUGGACAUAAUGUUUGACCCUGGUGAGGUGUCAGAUUUGACUCCACGUGUAUACUGUGUGAUUCCAGUUGAGGUUACAGCUCGUCAGUUAUGGAUUCAUUUUCAUAUUUAUUUUAGCAUUUUAUAAAAUGAAAAAUAUGAUUUAUUUAACAAUAUUUAAUUUACCUUUCUAUGGUAUUUGUCAGGACUGUCAUUAAUACACCUUGAGCUUGUCAGUACAAUGGUGAAGUAAUGACCUUGCAUUGGUGGAAAGAUUUAUUUAUGUUAUCAGUUGGUGCACCAGGAACAGCUGAAAGAUCAACAGAGAUAUACAUGUUUUUUUUAAUUUAAUUCCAUGAUAACAAAGUUAAACUUUAUUAUCACACAAAGAGAAGGUCUGCAGCCAAGAUAAUCCCAAACUCUACCAUGACUAAAAAAACUAACCAAUACCAAGAUAUUUGUCUCCAGCUCCACUUUAAACAUAAACAAUAGUUGAUAGCCUACAAAAAAAGAG